AAAACUCAAAAACUUAGUCUCAGUUCGGAUUGUAGGCUGAAACUCGCCUACAUGAAGCUGGAGUUGCUAGUAAUCGCGAAUCAGCAUGUCGCGGUGAAUACGUUCCCGGGCCUUGUACACACCGCCCGUCACACCAUGAGAGUUGGCAAUACCCAACGUACGUGAUCUAACCCGCAAGGGAGGAAGCGUCCUAAGGUAGGGUCAGCGAUUGGGGUGAAGUCGUAACAAGGUAGC
This 234-nucleotide ribosomal RNA is filed under the name uncultured bacterium. Its description in RNAcentral is "partial 16S ribosomal RNA". It matches the Rfam family "Bacterial small subunit ribosomal RNA", at positions 1269 to 1500 of the family's 1533-position model. The record is from RNAcentral.